RNAcentral lists this ribosomal RNA (253 nucleotides) under uncultured bacterium. RNAcentral describes it as "partial 16S ribosomal RNA". It matches the Rfam family "Bacterial small subunit ribosomal RNA", at positions 524 to 776 of the family's 1533-position model. The record is from RNAcentral.
UACGUAGGGUGCAAGCGUUAUCCGGAAUUAUUGGGCGUAAAGAGCUCGUAGGCGGUCUGUCGCGUCGGAUGUGAAAACCCAGGGCUCAACCCUGGGCCUGCAUUCGAUACGGGCAGACUAGAGUACGGCAGGGGAGACUGGAAUUCCUGGUGUAGCGGUGAAAUGCGCAGAUAUCAGGAGGAACACCGGUGGCGAAGGCGGGUCUCUGGGCCGUAACUGACGCUGAGGAGCGAAAGCGUGGGGAGCGAACAGG